Brassica napus (rape) is the source of this 2977-nucleotide long non-coding RNA. RefSeq lists it as uncharacterized. The record is from RefSeq and is a predicted model, not a curated record. The transcript has 2 exons. Lineage: Eukaryota; Viridiplantae; Streptophyta; Magnoliopsida; Brassicales; Brassicaceae.
UGGAGCGUUGAUAUUGACCAUGAAAUGCUAAAAACCCUAUAGAUUUUAGGCAUAGUGUUUGUAACAAACGGUUUUCAACUAAUAAAAAUGAUGUCUACACCAAAUAACAGGUCGGCUUUUCAUUAUCUAAUUAUAUAAAAAAUUGUUUGGUUCUCUCCAGAACGCGCCACCUAGGAUCCAGCGUGGAAAGUCGUGCAAGGAGAGCGCGACACGUCAUCUCCCUCUCUCAAAACGCAUCGUUUCAUUUAACUUAGAACUCUAAUUAUUGCGGGCUUUGCUAUGUGUUUUAGGCUUAUGUUUCGAUGUGGAGAACAGCCCAUAAGAUCGAAACUAGCUUCUUCUUCGAUUUUAGGGUUCAUCUUAGUCUUCGAUCCGUGAGCAUCUUCACCACCAACAAUGGAGUUCCUGGAGGAGGCGUGAGUUGAAUGGUCUUGCAAAAUUUCUGUUAGAAAAUUUGAUUGCGUCUUUACGGCUUCAUUUCUUAUCCUUCUAAACGUUAGAAGUCAUUAAUACAUCGCUUUAACAAACCUCUUAAUACCGUCAACCAAUCAGACAUUGAAUACAUCUUAUCUCUCUUUUGGCCAAUGUUGUUCUUCCGCUGUUGAGGUUAGAUUGCUCAGAUUCUGGGAAGACAUGAAUGUCAAACGCGGUGACGAGUUAUGCUCUUCAAAGGUGAAUAUGUUCUUAAACUCAUGUUCAUAGUGUUCGUCUGUUCAUAGUGUUCUUCAUAGUCUUCUUAUGUUCUUAAACUCAUGUUCAUAGUGUUCUUAAAUUGAACAAUAUGAAACUUUUAUAUUCGGAUCUCAGUUAACAAUCUUCUGAAAGAUUAAUUUAGAAACCGUUUGUGCUUCUAUUCUUUAGCCAUGUUCAUAUCUGGAACAUCCUUUCUUGAUAAGUACGAUGACAACUCUGGGACAAAUCUGGCGUCAUACUUCAUAGAUGCAUGGUCUCUGGUUGCAACGCUUAAGAAUCUGUCUGGUUAGUUCUGCGUUUAAACUCCAGGAAGAUAUCAUAUCAUCAUCAUCUGGUUGUUGCUAUUAUCAUCUGAGGUUUCUUUGUUUUAAACCACCAGUAAAAAAAAUUAUCUUGAUCAUAUAGACUUGUGCUAAUCAUGUACUGAUAUACACCAAAUGAUGAUGAAACUGAUAUCUUGAUCAUAUAGAUUUGUGCUAGACCGUGGUCGUUUGAAUUUCUUGAGCUAUAGGUUAAGAGAAGAGUUUGGGGAUAACUGUGGAAUCGUGAAUGUUUCAAUCAUGGUUAAGAGAAGAGUCUUUGUCUACUGAGAGUAAGCAAACGGCGAUGAAAGACUAUGGAGCAUGUUCGUCGCAAGAAGCGGAGACGGGUCUGUGGAGACUGAGGUCGGAGCCUCCGUCUAUUGAUGGAUAUGGUGGUCGUAUUGUUACAGGAGUUUCUGUUUGGUGUGUGCUUCAACGGCCAACGUAAAUUUGGUGGUGUUUGGCUGCAGUGCUUCACAAAGACGUAUGAUAUUUUUUGUUACUAUACAACAAGUCAUAUUUGUUGUUUGGAACAAAACGAUUACAAGGUUCAAUGUUAAAGUCAAACACGAGACUGAUUCGUGAGUUAUAUAUUUUUUUUUUUACUAUUUCAAGAUUCAUCAUCUUUGGUGUUUUUUUUUUCCAAUGUUUCAAUUUGUAUAAUCAACUCACCUUUGUUUAGAUGUUGUGUUGGUCUAUGUAGUUAAUAUUCACGGAUGUUAUUCUCAGUAAGUAAAUAUGAAUACGUUGUUUGCAAUUUUAUAAAAAAAAAAAACAGAGUAUUUUCACCACUGUUUCUGUAUCUCAAAACAUAUUUUAAGAGUCUCUGUGAUUCGAUAAAACGUAUAUAUUUCAUAAAGGAGCUUAUAAUGCACUCAUAUUACUUAAUUAGUAUAUCUGCCAAACCAUGAUAAAGCAAUGCUUAUUAUACUAUUCAACCAAAACUGAAAUAAAUAGAGAAAGAAAAAUCUUAUUUGAGCUAAUAUGCUGAAGACGGCGUGGGACGUGGGUGCGAGACCUUUCUGAACACGGGUAGUGCUCAGCCAUGCCAUGCUAACAUUCGCGAUUCGCCAAUGCUUCUUCUUCUUCUAUUUUCUAAAUGUUAUCAUUCUUUUAUACACGUCUUUGAAAAAAAAAUUAAUCUCACAAGAAAUUGGCCAUAACUGCAGGAAGCUUCAAGUUUAAGGUUUGUGUGAACAGCUAAGUUCUCUCUUUCUCUCUUAAGAAAUUCUUAUGAAUCAUCAGUAAGAAGAAGAAGGAGCAUUUCGUGAUUUUCCUAAAAUUUUAGAAAAUCUCUGGCUUGAAAGCCGAAUGACUAAAAUGUGACUCUACAGAUCAAUGCUUGAACUGCAGAUACAAAAAAAACACAGUUUGAGGAGAAGACUCGGAAUUUAGAAGAUGUAUCAGCAAAACAUGUAUUGAGAUGCAGAGAUGAAAAGAACAACUUGGGUUACGGAAAAAAAUGGCGAAAAAAAUUAUAAAAAAAUUCGAAUUUAAAAACAUAUAAUCUGAAACAAUAAAUUUUUAUUUAUUAUUUGUAUUUAUACAUCUAAAAUACUAGGAUCUUUUUACCUAUUAAAUAAAAUAUUUUGGUCAUUUUUUUCCUUAUGAUCUAUUUUUGUGACAGAAAUAUGAAAAUAGUCUUCAUAAUCCAAUACAAUUCUAUAAACCGUAUGUUUUUGUAAUCAUUUGUAUUAUGGUAUAAUUAUUUAAACGCCAAUCAUAAGUUUCAAUGGAAAUUUACCAAUUUAUAACUUCUAAAAUUUUAAAGUUAAAAACAUAACAAAUACGAAAAAGACCAAAAAACAAGUUAACAAAUACUACAAUUUACUCUUACAUCUCAACCACAAAGUAUACAAUAUUAAUAACUUCUCACUUAUAUAUAUAUAAUCAAUAAUAAUAAAUAUAAUAUGCACCACAUAAGUGAUAAUAACUUACAGUAAACAACAUGAAUUUUCAGCAAGAACUGAUGUAAAGCCAUC